UGGGCAACCUGCCCCCGGCUCUGGGAUAACUCCAAGAAAUUGGGGCUAAUACCGGAUAUGACCGCUGACCGCAUGGUCUGGUGGUGGAAAGAUUUAUCGGCUGGGGAUGGGCCCGCGGCCUAUCAGCUUGUUGGUGGGGUAGUGGCCUACCAAGGCGACGACGGGUAGCCGGCCUGAGAGGGCGUCCGGCCACACUGGGACUGAGAUACGGCCCAGACCCCUACGGGAG
RNAcentral lists this ribosomal RNA (229 nucleotides) under uncultured bacterium. RNAcentral's name for it is "partial 16S ribosomal RNA". It matches the Rfam family "Bacterial small subunit ribosomal RNA", at positions 118 to 347 of the family's 1533-position model. The record is from RNAcentral.